This 1394-nucleotide ribosomal RNA is filed under the name uncultured bacterium. RNAcentral's name for it is "bacterial SSU rRNA". It matches the Rfam family "Bacterial small subunit ribosomal RNA". The record is from RNAcentral.
UUAGAGUUUGAUCCUGGCUCAGGAUGAACGCUAGCGACAGGCUUAACACAUGCAAGCCGUGGGGCAGCGGGGGUAGCAAUACCUGCCGGCGACCGGCGUACGGGUGAGUAACGCGUGCGCAACCUACCCUUUACCGGGAGAUAACCCAUGGAAACGUGGAUUAAUAUCCCAUGGUAUCAUAUAGUUGCAUGAUUAUAUGAUUAAAACUUUGGUGGUAAAGGAUGGGCCCGCGUAACAUUAGGUAGUUGGUAAGGUAACGGCUUACCAAGCCUACGAUGUUUAGGGGUUCUGAGAGGAAGGUCCCCCACACUGGAACUGAGACACGGUCCAGACUCCUACGGGAGGCAGCAGUGAGGAAUAUUGGUCAAUGGGUGAGAGCCUGAACCAGCCAAGUCGCGUGAGGGACUAAGGGUCUAUGGCCCGUAAACCUCUUUUGUAUGGGACGAAUAAGGGGUACGUGUACUCCGAUGCCUGUACCAUACGAAUAAGCAUCGGCUAACUCCGUGCCAGCAGCCGCGGUAAUACGGGGGAUGCGAGCGUUAUCCGGAUUUAUUGGGUUUAAAGGGUGCGUAGGCGGCGUAAUUAGUCAGCGGUGAAAUUCGGCAGCUCAACUGCCGUCAGCCGUUGAAACUGUUAUGCUCGAGUGAGGUCAAGGUAGGCGGAAUAAGUAAAGUAGCGGUGAAAUGCAUAGAUAUUACUUAGAACUCCGACGGCGAAGGCAGCUUACCGGUCCUCAACUGACGCUGAUGCACGAGAGCGUGGGUAGCGAACAGGAUUAGAUACCCUGGUAGUCCACGCCGUAAACGAUGCUCACCGGUUUCCGGCGACACACAGUCGGGAGCCGCGCAAACGUAAAAGUGAGCCACCUGGGGAGUACGUCGGCAACGAUGAAACUCAAAGGAAUUGACGGGGGCCCGCACAAGCGGAGGAACAUGUGGUUUAAUUCGAUGAUACGCGAGGAACCUUACCCGGGAUUAAAUGUUGGGUGCAUGGUGGAGAGAUCCAUCUUUCCUUCGGGACUUCCAACAAGGUGCUGCAUGGUUGUCGUCAGCUCGUGCCGUGAGGUGUCGGGUUAAGUCCCAUAACGAGCGCAACCCUUUCCGUCAGUUGCCAUCGGUUCAUGCCGGGCACUCUGUCGGGACUGCCGCCGUAAGGUGCGAGGAAGGAGGGGAUGACGUCAAAUCAGCACGGCCCUUAUAUCCGGGGCGACACACGUGUUACAAUGGCCGGUACAGGGGGCAGCUACCAAGUGAUUGGAUGCAAAUCUCCAAAGCCGGUCUCAGUUCGGAUCGGAGUCUGCAACCCGACUCCGUGAAGUUGGAUUCGCUAGUAAUCGCGCAUCAGCCAUGGCGCGGUGAAUACGUUCCCGGGCCUUGCACACACCGCCCGUCAAG